UAUAGUAAGACGUUAAGAAUUCAAGUGCAAACUUUGGAGCAUACUGAUCUAAUUAAAAAAAAAUGAGUCGACCUCAGAGUUUGACCAGAAAGGAAUCAAGUUACCAUCCCACUGAUAUAAAGCUUCCGGGCUUGGGUAAGUUUAAACCAAUUUUGUAUUAAAAAUGUUUUGAAGUUGAUAAUUUUAAUGGUUGAACAAAACGAGAGAAAAUCAGGAUCCGUUACAUUUCAACAAAAUUAUGGAGGAAAACGAAACAUGAGCCCGAAUAUCACUUUUACGUGUCCAUGAAAUCUUGCAUAUUUACAUGGUUUUAACAUUAUUUCUUGUACAUAAUGAUCAUGUAGAUUAGGAAUUAGGCAUUUUUAGGGUCCAUUUUACAUUACAUGGGUCUUUAUUAGGGGCUAGAGUGUGCUAUGGAGUUUUUGGAGGUGUUUAGAGACAUUUGUGGUACAAAAGGGUGAAAGAUGAACAUGGAUGCAGACCUUAAAGAUAUCUUUUGAAGCUCAUGUUUUGGGAUGACGUGAGAAAUUGAGUUAUCUUUCUAAUGGAAGUGGUUUCAAGUCAUUUGGAGCUGUAUUGGAGGAGUUAUGAUCGAUUUACUAGAGGCAUAUCAACCCUGAUGCGGGUUGUACCAACUUGGGUUCCCUUACCCGGGCGCGAGAAGAGGAAGCUGGACAAGGAGCUGGCGCGGGUUGCGACCAUGGCAUCUACCCAGGUCGCGUCUUUACCUUGGCCGAAAAUCAACAUUUUUAAAGGGCAUUCUAGACUUUUCUAUGGAAACUAUUAGGUUUUCCAAAAACCAUAUAAAUACUCUUGUAAUCCCCAAGUUGGGAUUUAUCUCAUUUUCUCUCAAGAACUUUGUCUAAACUUGUAAAAGUUUGAAUCUUUUGAUAAUCUAAGGAAGUAUUUCAUCUUAUAUUUGUGUUUCUCUUGCUCAUUAACAUGAUUAGCCUUGAUCCUUACAUGGGUUUAAGGUUUCUCAUGGAAAUUAAUGAGUAGUGACCUUGUGAUUCAUGGGUUGGAUAGAUUAGGGUGAUUAGGUGGAUAUUUAGGAUGUUUAUGGUUUGAUUAACAUUGUUCUAUGCUUGAUAAGUGUACUUAAUGCUAGAUUAGACUUGAUCACUCUCAUCUAGACUUUAAGCUAUUUUACGCCCGAAAAGUGUUUGUUAAAAUGCUUGAAUGAGCUUAGUAUUGUCUUUUACAUAUUCGGCCAACGAUAGUUGAUGUCCGAGAUGUUUAAGUGGUUAGUAGACUUGUGAUUCAUGCAUGCUUGAUUGCUUUAGCCAACGACAGUUGAUGUUUAAUUCAUGAUUAACAUAGGGGUUUUUGCCACGACAGUGGAUUAAUCUAUAUUGAAUGAGAUCUCGACCUAUAGACUUGUUGAUUGUUUUGUUUGAACAUCCUAGAUUGAACCUUGAUCACCUUAUAUCAAUUAUCAUUGCCCAUGGAUACAUCCUUAGCAUUUGGUUGAAUUCUUGCACUUAUUUCUUGAUUGGAUUUGAGAUCACCUUGUUUAUAUUUCUAGGAUAUUAGUUUGUUACAAAUCAUUCAUCUUCUUGUUUGCUUAGAUUAAGGAAGCUUGUAUAUUCUUGGUGUUAUAGAUCAUUUGUUCCUUGUGGAUUUGAUCCUAAAAUGCUACAAUGACAUACCAUUCGAUUGUGGUAUUGUUGGCAUAUUAGGUUAAUUGGUGUGUGCUUAAACGCCUAAUCAAUUUGGCGCCGUUGCCGGGGAACUAAGUAGAUUUGUCACUAGGAUUUCAAACUUUCUUGAGAUUAAGCUUUAUUUUCUUAUGCUUUAUUUUGCUUUUGUAUAGCUACUAACCAUUUAUUCUAGUUUUUUGCUAUUUGCAGUGAUGGCAGCAAGCCAUUUUGUUUGGCCACAAGAAGAGGAAAACACACUUAAGAUCAUAUUGAUGAUGAUGAGUCAAUGUGGAGGAGCCAUUUGAUGAAAGUAUACUCACACCAGAACAAAGUGUAAAGGCGGAUGAGCUUUGCAAAGAGAACCCAAUGUUGACAAGGGAGGACAUGGCAGUCAUGCUUAGGCUAAAUCUUAUGUCAUAUCGGGCAACACUAGAAGGAAGAGAGCUCAUAAGCAUUGAGAUAAGAAUGGCUCAACAGCUCAAAGAGGUAUUUUAUUGGGUUCCACCAACCCAACUAGAAGGUAUAUGCAAUUUGACUUUGGAACUUCAUUUUGAGGAUAUUUGCUUGCCAUGUGUUGAAGAGAUUGCCUCUAAUUUGAAUUCUCAUGUGCUCAUCAAUGAAUUUCUUGAUCUAAUAUGUGAAACUAAAAACUAGAUGACUUGAGAGUAGAAAAGCUUGCUAGAGAUCAUAUUGAAGUUUGUUUUGUCAAGAACUAUCUUUGUGCUUCCAUUGAUCUUGAAUCUGAAUUUUUGAUGCUUGAUGAACCUAGGUCUCUUCUUGAACUUGCUGAUUUAGGGGAUGAACUUGAUGUUGAUAGGCUCUUGCUUGAGAUAGAAAUCUCCCUUGUCAAAAACUUUCAUGAGAAUGAGAACAUUGUGUUUUAUUUGAUUGAUGGAGAUAUAGUUGACUACUUUGUUAAAACUUCUUGUGUUUCCCCCAAAUGCUUUUGAUUCUCAUGAUCAUCUGAACCUCAAGGAACAUUUCAUAAUUCAUGCCACAUCUUUAGUGAAGCUCUUUGAGGAAAAAUCUGUCUAUUUUUAUGGACAGUAGUGUGCUCAUUUGCAUACUUGGUUCCUUGUUCUUGUAGGAGAAGGACCAAAGGUGCAUUGGCUCAACCUUUUGAUACUUAUGAUUAGCAAGCACACAAAGUCAAGCUAGAGACUUAAAACAAGCUCACUUGGGAAGAAGCCCCAUGUUUAUCCAUUGUAUAUAUUUCUUUAUCUUUCUUUCUUUUAGGUUGUUUAAUAAGUAUGGUUGAGGUCUUUCAGGUUGAGUCUAGAGCCAAUAAGAGAGGAAAGGCUGCCAAGCAUUGCUACUCUAAACACCCAUUAUCACACCCCAGUCUCCAUUUGAGUUAUGGUCAAGUGAUAAAACAGAAGAAAGGCUGGAGUAACAAGCAGAUAGUAGAGUAACAUAAGACGUCGUCAUCCUUGCUCAGUCACGAGCGCAUUUAACAUUACCGACGCCGCCUGACAUCAGAACGGAGAAGAAACAAAGAAAAAGAAAGAGUGGAAAACGCUUCACAUCUAUUUUCAACUGCUAGAAAUACACACCACAUCUAUUUUUCCCCAUCGUGAAGUUUUCCCUUAAGAGAUCAUAGUUACAGACUAUCAGAUAAAUGUGAGAAGAAAAAUGAGAUAUGAAGAUUUCAGAGAGUUUUAACAUGAGAUGGAAAAAAAAAAACAUUCAGAGAUGGAAGAAAAAAAUUGAGAGGCUGAGACAGAAAAAUGUUAGUAAAGAAGAAAGAGGAGGAGCUUAGUCUAAUAAUGGCUAUAGAUAAGUUUUUACAGUUUUGAUGUGUGUAAUAAUGGCUACAGAUAAAAGAAAAGGAAGAGGAUGGGUGGAGGAUUUUUUUUUAUUUCAUGGGAGAAUUUUUUUUUUUGUCAAGCAAAUCUA
Brassica napus (rape) is the source of this 3536-nucleotide long non-coding RNA. RefSeq lists it as uncharacterized. The record is from RefSeq and is a predicted model, not a curated record. The transcript has 3 exons. Lineage: Eukaryota; Viridiplantae; Streptophyta; Magnoliopsida; Brassicales; Brassicaceae.